This 431-nucleotide long non-coding RNA is filed under the name Homo sapiens (human). Its description in RNAcentral is "HSALNT0084657". Lineage: Eukaryota; Metazoa; Chordata; Mammalia; Primates; Hominidae. The record is from RNAcentral.
CGCCAGGUAAGAUGUCCGUUUGGUCUUCUUCGUCUUCUGCCAUGACUGUGAGGUUCCCCUCAGCUGUGUGGAACUGGGAGUCCAUUAAACUUCUUUGAUUUAUAGACGACCCAGUUUCAGGUCAGUGGUUGUCAAAGGCGACAAUGCAUCGGUAUUGUCUGAAGAAAUUUUCAAAUACCUGCUCCUUUCUAGGAUCCAGACACAGGAUAAGAUACAUGUGGGGAAUGACCUUUCCGUGCCUGUGCGGUUUAUUGGGAUUAUGAUGAAAAAUGUCAUCUGGAAUAAACAAUGAAAUUCACCACAUCAUCACUAACUCCUACCUUGUGGAAGUGCUAAUAUUUACCUUAAGAAGAGAGUAAACUUUAUCAUUUAAUGAGCUUAAUGUUAUGUUUCAUAUAGUUAAUAUACCAAAAGAAGUCCCAUGCUUACUC